UAUCCCCUACGGGGGGCAGCAGUGGGGAAUAUUGCACAAUGGGGGAAACCCUGAUGCAGCAACGCCGCGUGAGUGAAGAAGUAUUUCGGUAUGUAAAGCUCUAUCAGCAGGGAAGAAAAUGACAGUACCUGACUAAGAAGCCCCGGCUAACUACGUGCCAGCAGCCGCGGUAAUACGUAGGGGGCAAGCGUUAUCCGGAUUUACUGGGUGUAAAGGGAGCGUAGACGGCUGCGCAAGUCAGAAGUGAAAGGCAGGGGCUUAACCCCUGAACUGCUUUGGAAACUGCCAUGCUAGAGUGCUGGAGG
Molecule: ribosomal RNA, 305 nt
Filed under: uncultured bacterium
Lineage: Bacteria
Description: bacterial SSU rRNA
Rfam family: Bacterial small subunit ribosomal RNA
Source: RNAcentral